AAGUGGGUGACUUUAUGUUCUAGGCCUGUGGCCCCCGGGACGGGCUAAAAGGAAAGACUGGGGGAUCCUGCCUGCCUGAGUGCUGCCUGUUUGGGACUGAGCUUUCCAGUGGAUCGGAUGGAGCGAGUAGGUCCACUUCUGAAAGCUGUCAGGGUUAUUCAAAGGAUUAGGGGGGAAAUGGCGUCAAGGCCCGUUGCAGACUUGAUGAAACCAUCGGACAGUGGCAAAUAGUAUUGUUAGUAGACCGUGUGUCUCUGGUGGUUGUGGGCAAAGCGCUGGAAUUAGAUCCGGGAUUUGGACCCCAGCUUCCUGAUAUGCUGGCUGGGAGACUGGGCAAAUCUCGAGCCUGAAAAGGACUGCUGGUGCUGAGUUGCAAGUGGCCGGGUGCAAGGACAAGAGAGAGGCACGGAGGAACUAAGGGUGGCCCCCAGCUGGCAGCCAGCAGGGAAGCAGGGACCUCAGUCCUACAACACGAAAGAACUGUAUUCUGCCAACACCGUGAAUGAGCUUGGAAGUAGUUCCUUCCUAGGGCCUCCUGUUUCACCAGAACAACCAGACCCACCUGAUGAGACUUCUUUGAUGCACUGGGCCAGUUUGGAAAAGAAUCAGAAUGCCUUCUGUUGAGCUGAUCAAAGGAACACCAAGGAUUGCCAACAGUCACCAGAAGCCGGAUGGGACAAGGAAAGAUUCUCUCCUUGAGACUUCAGAGGGAGCAUGGCCCUGCCGACACCUUUGUUUCUGAUUUCUAUCCUCUUGAACUGUGAGAAUGGAUUUAAGCCACUUUAAGCCACUCUUAAACCACCGCUUGAAGCCACUCGGUUUGUGGCAAUUACAGUAUUCUUAGGAAAAUAAUACACCAAGCAGCGCCUGGGGGGCUCAGUGGGUUGAGCGUCCAACUUCGGCUCAGGUCGUGAUCUUGUGGUUUGUGAGUUCGAGCCCCGCGUCGGGCUCUGGGCUGACAGCUCGGAGCCUGGAGUCGGCUUCGGAUUCUGUGUCUCCCUCUCUCUGCCCCUUCCCCACUCAUGCUCUGUCUCUCAAAAAUGAAUAAACUUUAAAAAAAGUUAAGAAAAAAUAACACACCAUUAAAAAACUGUUUUGAUCCUAUUACAAAUGACAUAUUUUAUUAUUAUUUUUUGAGAGGUAGGUUUUUUUUAAGUUUAUUUAUUUUGUGAGGGUCGAGGGAGGGGCAGAGAGAGAGAGAGAGAGAGAGAACUCCCGCAUGGGGCUGGGUCUCAUGAACUGUGACAUCAUGAUCUGAACCCAAAUCAAGCAUUGGAGGCUGAACCAGCCAGGCACUCCAGAGGUAGUUGGGUUUAAUUUUUGUUUACUUAUUUUUAAAAUUGCGGUAUAAAUAACACAGUGUUCUAUUAGUUUCAGGUGUACAAAAUAGUGAUUCAGCAAUUGUGUGCAUUACUCAGGUGGCCAUCACGCUUUACCCCAGUAUGGAAACCGCAGCCCUUGAUCAGCUGAGUGCCGCUAGGAACCAUCGCCAAGAGGCCGCAGGAAAGCCCAGGGCUUGGGGGAGUCUAGUCGCAGCUGGUGGUAAAGAAAUGUCUUCCAAGGGGCAAAGAAUAAUAUGGGUGAGUUUGGGAAUAAUGGAUAACAAUGGAACAGAGGGUUCUGUGAAUCCUGGGGUUUGAGGAAGGAGGGAUGGGGUAUAAACAGGAGAAAGGAACCGCAGAGAAUUAUGGGGAUCAGGAAAGGAGAAAACAGAACUGACCAGGGGAAGCCCUAGCUUAUUCAGAGCAGCACUAAAGCAAGCUCUGGAUGCAUUUAUCUGGCCAGUGUCAACCAGGUAACAGCUCUGCAUUUAUCUUUGGAAGAUGGUGGAAACUCAGACCGCUCCAUAGUUAUCUGUUCCCUGGAAGGGGGAGGGUUCCAGGACCAGGGACUUGGAUUUGGGGCUUCUUCACCUCGGAGUUGUUCGAGGGCAGGGCAAAGCGAACAGCUACAAAUGAAUGAGUGAGAAAGAAGAUUGUUGUUGGGACAAUGAAUGCCCUGAGCAAGUGGGAGGGAUGUGAUGACAAACGAGGACAUAAGCCUAGAAAGGAGGAAGGGCGACCCUUCCAUCAAAACACGGGAGAGGAAGAGCUGUCGGUCAGCGUAGGUCACGUCAUCUUGACAACCCCCGAACCUCAGCGCUUGGAACAAUACGGGUCUCCUCCUCUGUGCUACAUGUUCAUCAUCGGUUGGCAGGGGAACUACUCUUGUUGAAGGAACAUAGGCUGAUGAUCCACCGCCAUCUUGGAUGCUGCUCGUCCCUGUGCCACAGACAGAACCCCGGGGGGGUCUCUUGUUGGAGGUUCAGGCUUGGAUUAGAGAUGUGCCGCUUUCCUCACAGCUCAUUGACCAGGGUUAGUCUCUCACACUGUC
Long non-coding RNA from Neofelis nebulosa (Clouded leopard), 2373 nucleotides. RefSeq lists it as uncharacterized. NCBI's taxonomy places the organism in Eukaryota, Metazoa, Chordata, Mammalia, Carnivora, Felidae. The record is from RefSeq and is a predicted model, not a curated record. The transcript is spliced from 3 exons.